This 229-nucleotide ribosomal RNA is filed under the name uncultured eukaryote. Its description in RNAcentral is "partial 18S ribosomal RNA". It matches the Rfam family "Eukaryotic small subunit ribosomal RNA", at positions 1208 to 1456 of the family's 1831-position model. The record is from RNAcentral.
GGGAAACUUACCAGAUCAAGACAUAGUAAGGAUUGACAGAUUGAGAGUUCUCUCUCGAUUCUAUGGGUGGUGGUGCAUGGCCGUUCUUAGUUGGUGGAGUGAUUUGUCUGGUUAAUUUCGUUAACGAACGAGACCUUAACUUGUUGAAUAGUGAAUCGUAACCUCGGUUACGUUGGAAUCUUCUUAGAGGGACUUUCAGUGACUAACUGAAGGAAGUUGGCGGCAAUAA